AGGAAUGAAUCAGAUGAAUCAGCUAAGGUCAACACAGACAGUAGCAGUUCAGGAGAAAGAUUUUUCACAUCUGGUUUGCCACAGCAGAAAACUUUCUUUUUCAUAAAUGAGAAUGAAUGGAAGGAGUUACGGCAACAUCAGUCAGGAAGACUAUUUAAAGGACUGCAGUGGACAAAUAUAAUUGCUAGUGGAAUCAGAACCCUUAAUCCGUACUGCAGUUUUGGAUUUUGGAGACACAGUGUGAAAAAACUCUCUUCAAGAUCAAAAGCACCGGUUUUCAGGUGUAUGGGGUAUUGCAGAUUUCAGGACUGCCCUGUCACUGUGGAUGUGGUGGUUUAUGACGAAGAGACACUGAAAGCAGAAGUCGUUUUUACAGGAGGUGAGGUCUGGCAUAAUAACAAAGAGCUGAAAAGGCGGCCUGUGCGUGCACAAUCACGUCAAAGUGCUGGAGAACUCCUCAAAAACAAAUUACCAAGGAGCUUGUACUUGGAGUCUUUACAGAAAGUGCCACAAAAGGUGAUCCAAUCUGGCAACAGGGAUGAUGCUCCAACAAAAGAAGUCUUGAAAAACAUUGCACGGUCUGAAAGAAAAGCCAGUAGAGCAGAUCCCAAUGAGUUGAUGAGCUUACAAAAGAUAAUUCAACAGUAUCAGGACACUGAAAAGGAUGUACUGCAGAAGAUUCUGAUGCAUCCAAAGGGCAUAAUGCUAUGGUCUAAGAAAACCUUGUCAGUUUUUCAUCAAAGAUGCAACGAAGACAUUGUGUACUUUGAUGCCACUGGAAGUAUAAUAAGAAAAGAAAGUGCUGGAAGGCCACCAUACUAUGUGUAUGAGUUGGUUGUCAGAAACCCAUCCAAAGGUGCUUCUCCUCUUCCAGUUGCUACAUAUGUCACAUGUGACCACACUACAGCCUCUGUGACAUACUUCUUGGAGGCCUUUCAGACUGAUCUGGUAAGAGCAUUUGGUAAUCGGGCCUACAACAGGCCUGUCAUGUUCAUGUGUGAUGGAUCCCUAGUACUCCUUCGAUCCAUUUCCAUGACAUUCUGCAGAACAAGUCUAGAGGAUCUGUUGCAGAAGUACUAUGUCUUCCUCACUGGCCAGCAUUCAGCACAGGAAUUCAACAUUCCCAUUCUUCAUCGAUGUUUGAGCCAUGUCAUGAAAAAUGCCAAGGACCUUUGUAAAAAACACAUUCCAGAGAAAUACCGGCUUGGAAUGCAUGUGUUUGGGCUCCUUGCAUGCUGUGAUAACUUAAAAGACAUGGAUGAUGUUGUCCAUAGUGCAGCAAUAGUGUUUUGCAGUCCUUGUAGUGGAAGGAACGUAACAAAACACUACAACAACUUGAAAAUCCUUAUGCAAAAAAGGGGGACCCUGGAUUUGGAUGAAAAGACUGUGAUUGCUGAGGACUACAAGACUGAUGUUCAGAAUGCCCCCUUGAAGACCCAUUUCCAGGCAAUUGUUGACAAUGCAACACUGGACUGUGAGGGCGAAAGAAACAUCUUUCAUGCACCCAAAUUUAUUGCCGGUCUGGUAAAUCACCUUCUACCACAUGCAACUUUGUGGUCAUCAAUGAUGCUCGGGGAUCUUGGACAUCAUGGUACUGGUCCUGCUUACCAGCAGCUCAGUAAACUCUAUAGUGACAUUCAGCAAUCCAAGAACCAGAAUUUUACACAAGACAACAGAACCCAAGGAAUCAUGGAGAAAAGCCAGUGGGAUUUGAAAAAAAUCCGUAUCCAGAGAAGGAGACUGACAAGGCUUGAUGAUUUUGUGGAAAUUUAUCAAAAAAUGCAUGAUGCCCUCCUGCUUGAAUAUGCAGACAUGAAAAAAUCAAGACAAAAGUCUUUUCACGUGGAAAUGGAGAAAUGGAAAGACAAACACAUUAAACGGAAAGGUGUGUAGGUGUCACCGUUAGUGACAGAACUGCCACUGAAGAAAAAGAAAACUGAG
Molecule: long non-coding RNA, 1941 nt
Filed under: Oreochromis niloticus (Nile tilapia)
Lineage: Eukaryota; Metazoa; Chordata; Actinopteri; Cichliformes; Cichlidae
Description: lncRNA (ENSONIG00000026856.2)
Source: RNAcentral